CUUUUUUAACCAAUAAUUAAGAGACCAAAGUGCGGUUGCUUCAUAUGUGAUGUGCUAUCUUUUAUAAAUUUAUGCAUGAAUUGUCCCUCCCUUAAUAUUUUUUGCUUUCAUUUGGUUUUAUUUGUUUUAUGGUUGCAGGAGUAGGAUCGAUUUAAGAUAACAAACCACUUUUGCUGCUGGGGCGGAUGCCAUUUUGGCCCUCUGGUAUGUAUCUUCUUUUUCAUGUGUUGUCUUCUCUUGGUUUUCAGCACCAAUCAAUCAUCUUGGCUUCUUAGCCUUUAGAGCCAGCGGAGUACAAAUUGGUAAUUGUCCUAUAUGGUUUAACGUAAUAAUAAAAUUUGAUGAAAUGUUUAACAAAUCACUUUAUUAGAAUCAUAAACUUGUUGCAAACAUAAUAUCAGUUAACAACACUUUUGGUCAGUAAUUGAAGGGUUAGCUCACAUUUCAAUGGGUCCAUGCCUCUUCAAUUUGGUUAAUUUGAUCCAUGUGGUUUAAUCCGUUAACAAUCAAAUUCCUCUCAAAUGGGCUUUAAGUUUACGCGGUAAAUUACACAUUUGGUUCCUUCAAGGGAGAAUGACACUUACGAGCUCCUGCGCGUACGAAAGACCAAGAUUUGUUGACCAAGAUUUGUCAAUGGAUUCCAGGAAAAGAAAAAAGAAAAAAAGAAAAAGAAAAAAAAAGAGAAGAUUGUUAACGGAUUAUAAAACAUGGAAAUCAAAUUGGCCAAAUUUAAAGCGUAAGGACCAAAAUUGAAAUUCUAGCUAAACAGAAAAAGGACCAAAAAUGCCUUCGAUCCUUAAAUCAAACAGUUGGUGCGUGUGGCAUCUUCUUGGCGCCUAGCUGGUCAAAGUGGGGGAAUAAUGUAAGUUGGUGUACUCUUACGCAAAGUUGAGUUUCAAGUUAUUAUGCGUGACUGCUAUUUUGUCAUUUUGGAUCGAGUUGUCAGACUGCCGGUGUAAUGCGGACAACAUGGUUCAAGUAAUCGUAUAUGAGAUAAGCAGACACGAGUUAGAUAAGUUGGCUAGGAC
RNAcentral lists this long non-coding RNA (1028 nucleotides) under Prunus dulcis (almond). RNAcentral's name for it is "sRNA ncRNA". The record is from RNAcentral. Lineage: Eukaryota; Viridiplantae; Streptophyta; Magnoliopsida; Rosales; Rosaceae.